Molecule: ribosomal RNA, 253 nt
Filed under: uncultured bacterium
Lineage: Bacteria
Description: partial 16S ribosomal RNA
Rfam family: Bacterial small subunit ribosomal RNA
Source: RNAcentral
UACGGGGGGGGUAAGCGUUGUUCGGAAUUACUGGGCGUAAAGGGCUCGUAGGCGGCCAACUAAGUCAUACGUGAAAUCCCUCAGCUUAACUGGGGAACUGCGUGUGAUACUGGAGGGCUUGAGUGUGGGAGAGGGAUGCGGAAUUCCAGGUGUAGCGGUGAAAUGCGUAGAUAUCUGGAGGAACACCGGUGGCGAAGGCGGCAUCCUGGACCAUGACUGACGCUGAGGAGCGAAAGCCAGGGGAGCAAACGGG